GCUGCAUGGUGGUGCAGCUGGUAGCACUGUUGCCCUACAGCAAGAAGUUCCUGGGUUUGAAUCCCAGCCUGGGCU
Crenichthys baileyi (White River springfish) is the source of this 75-nucleotide non-coding RNA. The record is from the annotation of a GenBank genome assembly. Lineage: Eukaryota; Metazoa; Chordata; Actinopteri; Cyprinodontiformes; Goodeidae.